This 446-nucleotide ribosomal RNA is filed under the name uncultured soil bacterium. RNAcentral's name for it is "bacterial SSU rRNA". It matches the Rfam family "Bacterial small subunit ribosomal RNA", at positions 26 to 518 of the family's 1533-position model. The record is from RNAcentral.
AGAACGAACGCUGGCGGCAUGCCUAAUACAUGCAAGUCGAACGAACUCUUCGGAGUUAGUGGCGCACGGGUGCGUAACGCGUGGGAAUCUGCCCCUUGGUUCGGAAUAACAGUUGGAAACGACUGCUAAUACCGGAUGAUGACGAAAGUCCAAAGAUUUAUCGCCAAGGGAUGAGCCCGCGUAGGAUUAGCUAGUUGGUGAGGUAAAGGCUCACCAAGGCAACGAUCCUUAGCUGGUCUGAGAGGAUGAUCAGCCACACUGGGACUGAGACACGGCCCAGACUCCUACGGGAGGCAGCAGUAGGGAAUAUUGGACAAUGGGCGAAAGCCUGAUCCAGCAAUGCCGCGUGAGUGAUGAAGGCCUUAGGGUUGUAAAGCUCUUUUACCCGAGAUGAUAAUGACAGUAUCGGAGAAUAAGCCCCGGCUAACUCCGUGCCAGCAGCCCGC